Long non-coding RNA from Brienomyrus brachyistius, 437 nucleotides. RefSeq lists it as uncharacterized. The transcript is spliced from 4 exons. The record is from RefSeq and is a predicted model, not a curated record. NCBI's taxonomy places the organism in Eukaryota, Metazoa, Chordata, Actinopteri, Osteoglossiformes, Mormyridae.
AAAGGGUUUCCAGGUCUUCCGGGACUUCCUGGAAACAAGGGGAUGAAAGGUAUGCAGGGAAUUGCUGGAGCAAAGGGACUGAAAGGACACAGAGGCCCCCAACAUGUGCCACUGUCAACGCUCCCCUGCAUCGAAGCUGUGAAUAGGAAGCUAACUUCAGCCACAGAAUAAGAAGGUGCGAAUGAGAGGCUGCUUGGCGCCCCAUCCUGGGUUGCUCCCUGCCUUGAGCCCGCAGCCUCCUGGAUAGGCUCUGGACACCCGGUUUCAGAAAAUGGAUGGAUGAAUGAAGCCAAACAAAUGUGUGAACUGUGAAUAAGUAACGAAUUUCAGCCUCGUCAGCCUCAUACGGCAGUUAUUGUUGAAUUUUGCUUAACAUGAAUUCCCUGCAAUGGUGAAUAAAAUACCUUUUAUUAGGAAAGAAUGCGCUGCCCAUUAAA